Molecule: long non-coding RNA, 230 nt
Filed under: Mus spicilegus (steppe mouse)
Lineage: Eukaryota; Metazoa; Chordata; Mammalia; Rodentia; Muridae
Description: lncRNA (ENSMSIG00000019120.1)
Source: RNAcentral
AACUCUUUUACUCAACAGGGAACAAGGGGCCAGAUGGCAAGCAGACAUGUGCUUAAGGCUGGGUUGAGAACUGCUACUUAAAAGGAUGUUGAAAAUGAAACUGACUCUAAAACCUACUUGAAGCAAACUUCUGGAAGAGAGAGAUCAGAAGCAAGCACCAAAAGGAAGAGGAAUACCACUUAAGAAUGUGAUGCAAAGCAAGUGGGUCCUUCCAAAACUUUUAUCCUGAA